Molecule: ribosomal RNA, 484 nt
Filed under: uncultured bacterium
Lineage: Bacteria
Description: partial 16S ribosomal RNA
Rfam family: Bacterial small subunit ribosomal RNA
Source: RNAcentral
AGUGAACGCUGGCGGCGUGCUUAACACAUGCAAGUCGAACGAGAACGGAUUAUAGCUUGCUAUAAUUGUCAGCUAAGUGGCGCACGGGUGAGUAAUGUAUAGGUAAUAUGCCUCUUACUAAGGGAUAACAAAUGGAAACGUUUGCUAAUACCUUAUACUCCUUAUUAACAUAAGUUAAUAGUGGAAAGAUUUAUUGGUAAGAGAUUAGCCUGUAUUGUAUCAGUUAGUUGGUGGGGUAAUGGCUUACCAAGACUAUGACACAUAACUGGUUUGAGAGGAUGAUCAGUCACACUGGAACUGAGACACGGUCCAGACUCCUACGGGAGGCAGCAGUGGGGAAUAUUGCACAAUGGACGAAAGUCUGAUGCAGCAACGCCGCGUGGAGGAUGACACAUUUCGGUGCGUAAACUCCUUUUAUAUGAGAAGAUAAUGACGGUAUUAUAUGAAUAAGCACCGGCUAACUCCGUGCCAGCCGCCGCGGUAA